RNAcentral lists this ribosomal RNA (657 nucleotides) under uncultured bacterium. RNAcentral describes it as "bacterial SSU rRNA". It matches the Rfam family "Bacterial small subunit ribosomal RNA", at positions 157 to 808 of the family's 1533-position model. The record is from RNAcentral.
UCCGGCCUAAAACAAAAUGUGUCAGAAGGGAGGCAUGUUCUUGCGUCCAAAGGAGGCGACUCAGAAGAUGGGGGGGCAUGCGUGACAUUAGCUUUUUGGCGGGGUAACGGCCCACCAAGGCGACGAUGUCUAGGGGUUCUGAGAGGAAGGUCCCCCACAGUGGUACUGAGACACGGACCAGACUCCUACGGGAGGCAGCAGUGAGGAAUAUUGGUCAAUGGGCGAGAGCCUGAACCAGCCAAGUCGCGUGAAGGAUGACGGCCCUACGGGUUGUAAACUUCUUUUGUCAGGGAGCAAUUGGGUCCACGUGUGGGCUUAGCGAGAGUACCUGAAGAAAAAGCAUCGGCUAACUCCGUGCCAGCAGCCGCGGUAAUACGGAGGAUGCGAGCGUUAUCCGGAUUUAUUGGGUUUAAAGGGUGCGUAGGCGGAAUAUCAAGUCAGCGGUAAAAAUUCGGGGCUCAACCCUGUCGUGCCGUUGAAACUGAUGUUCUUGAGUGGGCGAGAAGUAUGCGGAAUGCGUGGUGUAGCGGUGAAAUGCAUAGAUAUCACACAGAGCUCCGAUUGCGAAGGCAGCAUACCGGCGCCCAACUGACGCUGAAGCACGAAAGCGUGGGUAUCGAACAGGAUUAGAUACCCUGGUAGUCCACGCAGUAAACG